This 1593-nucleotide long non-coding RNA is filed under the name Oryza sativa (Asian cultivated rice). RNAcentral's name for it is "long non-coding RNA (OSAT_LNC000054)". The record is from RNAcentral. Lineage: Eukaryota; Viridiplantae; Streptophyta; Magnoliopsida; Poales; Poaceae.
CGAAUUGGUGAGAUCAAAUAGUAGAGACACAAAGGCUAUCAAAGUACAAUGUAUAUAUGGAAGAAAUUUCAUCAGAGCAUAUGAGAGCAGUAUAAUAACGCCGGUUGUUAUGUUACCAAUGUAACUCAGAAGUUGUACUGGAUGGUCUUUACAAAAAUUAAGCUCAAUUAUGUAGUUAUGUUGUUAUACAACAAUUUGUGUAUUAUUCAGCAAAUAAAAUGCAAGAUACAUGAUGACGAUAUACAUAAUUAACCUUAAUCAUAGAAUCAUUAUCAUAAGAUUAAAGAUCAAGCAAAAUAGCAAUAUAGUCUAUAUGGCUCUGGGGAACUUGAACGGAGCUGGCAGUAUUUUUCCCUUACAUAUGCAAGCAGUGUAAGUAACAUUUUACACUUGAUGGUGUAAAUAUCCAUGUCUAAAUAUUUUUUUUGUAUAAAAAGAAUUAGUAAGAAUAGCUAAUCAGGUUGUACUGGUCGAAAAAGAAUUAAAACAAUAGCAGGAGCAUCUGUAAUAUAGAAACCUAUAAAGGGUGAAGGAGAUGUAACAAUGUACAAUACCUUCAACAGCUUUGAUAAUAAUAACUUCAUGCAACACCCACUAAAAGUAUGAUCUAACAUUGUUAAUGUUAUGAUAGGAUACUCUGCAUAGAGAUGAAGAGAUCAAUUAAAGAACACAUCUCAACAACAUAUGGAUUUAGAAUAUAACAUGUGAAUAUAAAUAACUCUGAUGUGGUGACAUACAUAUAGUUCUUAUGUAGCAAAAAAUAGGGAAGCAACCUAGGUAAGUUAAAAAUGCGAGGCAACUGAUAGAGAGGAUUUUGACAUUGAACUCAUAAAUCCCUUCCCUAAGAAAUGUGCUAUCACUUGCCAUAUACUUUUUGCUUGUCUGAUGCACUCUACAGAUAUUUUUAUGAUCAUAUAUAGACAUAAAAAGCUAAUGAAUUAGCUUCAGUCACUUACUGAUUGUACUUUGAGAUACCGGUCGAUCAAUGCAGUAAACAUUUACCCAAUCAAGUUAAUUAACAUGUAAAGCAAGGCAGAAUGGGUAUCUACAUCCAAGUGGUGUAUGUGUAUUUGCAGGAAAAGGUAUUAAUUAGCAAACAGACAUACAUAUGUGAUCCUUUCGUUUAUGCUUCCAAAAAUAAAUGCAGGCUGCACAUAAAAAAAAGUUUUGAAUCAACGGAAUAUGGCCUUCUAAGAGCGAAAUCUGUGGUUCCAAAAAUAGAUGCAGGCCUGCACAUAAAAAUGAGUUUUGAAUCAACGAAAUAUGGCCUUCUAACAGUGAAAUUUCAGAAGCAUAAUGCAGGUAAAGCAUUCGUAACCUCAUAUCUUCAGACUUGAUUGACCAUGCACCACAGAAAAAUCAAGUAGAGAUUUCCACCAGUCAUAUAAGCCUGAUAUGAAGAAAGCAUGAGAUGCAGGACUGUAAAAGAACUGAGAAAUCAAUUUGAGGAGUAGUAUCAGCAGGAGGAGAUUUGGCUGCUGUCACCCAUGUCGAGUUUCACCUGUUGGUUACCGCGUGCUUGUAGGCGCUCGAUGCGGCACAGAUCUUGCAGAACCAAGUUCUCGUGGGAUGGAGAAAGAGACGAAAUGGCGG